UGGGAGGCAGAUACCUGGGCAGUCCGAAGCGGUGCGCUGUCCAUCACUAGCCCUCCCUAUAGUAUCCUUGCUCUCUGAUGACUGUGGUGAGAUGAGAGAAAUCACCACAGACAGAUACGGAGCAGACAUCU
This is a non-coding RNA of Nerophis lumbriciformis (worm pipefish), 131 nucleotides long. Lineage: Eukaryota; Metazoa; Chordata; Actinopteri; Syngnathiformes; Syngnathidae. The record is from RefSeq and is a predicted model, not a curated record.